Molecule: ribosomal RNA, 499 nt
Filed under: Opisthosyllis brunnea
Lineage: Eukaryota; Metazoa; Annelida; Polychaeta; Phyllodocida; Syllidae
Description: partial 16S ribosomal RNA
Rfam family: Bacterial large subunit ribosomal RNA
Source: RNAcentral
GUUUAUCAAAAACAUUGCCUUAAGAGAAUUGAUUUAAGGUAAAUCUGCCCGGUGAAUUUACAUUUAACGGCCGCGGUAUUCCUGACCGUGCUAAGGUAGCACAAUAAUGAGCCCUCUAAUUAGGGGAUAGAAUGAAUGAAUUAACAAGAAAAAUCCUGUCUCUCUUUUACCCAAUGAAAUUUAGUUUUAGGUGAAAACUCCUAAAUUCUAGAUAAAGACAGAAAGACCCUAUAAGCUAUUAUAUAAACGUAAUAUAAACGCCAUGUAUAUUUAAUUGGGGCGAUUACAAGUUAUAAACACUUGACUCAUAAAGGGAAAUAACCCUACAACUAUAUCUAGAAACAAACAAGUAAGUUACUAUAGGGAUAACAGGUUAAUAUUUCUUAAGAGCACAAAUCGACAGAAAUGCUUAACACCUCGAUGUUGGCUUAAGGACCCCAUUUCAUGCAGAAGUAAAAAAGGGGGGUUUGUUCAACCUUUAAUUCCUUACAUGAUCUGA